UCCUCGGUAGUAUAGUGGUGAGUAUCCCCGCAUGUCACGCUGGAGACCGGGGUUCACUUCCCCGCCGUGGAG
This 72-nucleotide transfer RNA is filed under the name Daphnia pulex (common water flea). It matches the Rfam family "tRNA". Rfam says of the family: Transfer RNA (tRNA) molecules are approximately 80 nucleotides in length. Their secondary structure includes four short double-helical elements and three loops (D, anti-codon, and T loops). The record is from Rfam by way of RNAcentral. Lineage: Eukaryota; Metazoa; Arthropoda; Branchiopoda; Diplostraca; Daphniidae.